AGAGUUUGAUCCYGGCUCARGACGAACGCUGGCGGCGUGCCUAAUACAUGCAAGUCGAACGGUCUUUUCUAUGGAAGCUUGCUUCCACUGAGAAGAUAGUGGCGAACGGGUGAGUAACACGUGGGUAACCUGCCCAUAAGAGGGGGAUAACAUCCGGAAACGGGUGCUAAUACCGCAUAGUUUUCUUGAUCGCAUGAUCGAGAAAGGAAGGACGGCCUUUGUGCUGUCGCUUAUGGAUGGACCCGCGGCGUAUUAGUUAGUUGGUGAGGUAAUGGCUCACCAAGACGAUGAUACGUAGCCGACCUGAGAGGGUGAUCGGCCACAUUGGGACUGAGACACGGCCCAAACUCCUACGGGAGGCAGCAGUAGGGAAUCUUCCGCAAUGGACGAAAGUCUGACGGAGCAACGCCGCGUGAGUGAAGAAGGUUUUCGGAUCGUAAAACUCUGUUGUCAGAGAAGAACAAGUCGGAGAGUAACUGCUCCGGCCUUGACGGUAUCUGACCAGAAAGCCACGGCUAACUACGUGCCAGCAGCCGCGGUAAUACGUAGGUGGCAAGCGUUGUCCGGAUUUAUUGGGCGUAAAGCGAGCGCAGGCGGUUCCUUAAGUCUGAUGUGAAAGCCCACGGCUCAACCGUGGAAGGUCAUUGGAAACUGGGGAACUUGAGUGCAGAAGAGGAGAGUGGAAUUCCAUGUGUAGCGGUGAAAUGCGUAGAUAUAUGGAGGAACACCAGUGGCGAAAGCGACUCUCUGGUCUGUAACUGACGCUGAGGCUCGAAAGCGUGGGGAGCAAACAGGAUUAGAUACCCUGGUAGUCCACGCCGUAAACGAUGAGUGCUAAGUGUUGGAGGGUUUCCACCCUUCAGUGCUGCAGCUAACGCAUUAAGCACUCCGCCUGGGAGUACGGCGCAAGGCUGAACUCAAGGAAUUGACGGG
RNAcentral lists this ribosomal RNA (933 nucleotides) under uncultured Trichococcus sp. RNAcentral describes it as "bacterial SSU rRNA". It matches the Rfam family "Bacterial small subunit ribosomal RNA", at positions 8 to 917 of the family's 1533-position model. The record is from RNAcentral. Lineage: Bacteria; Bacillati; Bacillota; Bacilli; Lactobacillales; Carnobacteriaceae.